AGUGAACGCUGGCGGUAGGCCUAACACAUGCAAGUCGAACGGCAGCACAGUAAGAGCUUGCUCUUACGGGUGGCGAGUGGCGGACGGGUGAGGAAUGCAUCGGAAUCUACUUUUUCGUGGGGGAUAACGUAGGGAAACUUACGCUAAUACCGCAUACGACAUACGGGUGAAAGCAGGGGAUCUUCGGACCUUGCGCGAUUGAAUGAGCCGAUGUCGGAUUAGCUAGUUGGCGGGGUAAAGGCCCACCAAGGCGACGAUCCGUAGCUGGUCUGAGAGGAUGAUCAGCCACACUGGAACUGAGACACGGUCCAGACUCCUACGGGAGGCAGCAGUGGGGAAUAUUGGACAAUGGGCGCAAGCCUGAUCCAGCCAUACCGCGUGGGUGAAGAAGGCCUUCGGGUUGUAAAGCCCUUUUGUUGGGAAAGAAAAGCAGCAGGUUAAUACCCCGCUGUUCUGACGGUACCCAAAGAAUAAGCACCGGCUAACUUCGUG
RNAcentral lists this ribosomal RNA (492 nucleotides) under uncultured bacterium. RNAcentral's name for it is "partial 16S ribosomal RNA". It matches the Rfam family "Bacterial small subunit ribosomal RNA", at positions 29 to 507 of the family's 1533-position model. The record is from RNAcentral.